RNAcentral lists this long non-coding RNA (776 nucleotides) under Anser brachyrhynchus (Pink-footed goose). RNAcentral's name for it is "lncRNA (ENSABRG00000014953.1)". The record is from RNAcentral. Lineage: Eukaryota; Metazoa; Chordata; Aves; Anseriformes; Anatidae.
CUUUGAACCAUGUUCAGGUGCUGUGAGACAUUAUUUUAGAUAAUGAUGAGAGUGUCUCCUGUUGUUUACUACAUCCAUGGAAUUAUUUCAAAUCCUAAUUAUUUCAUCUGACCAGACAAUUAAAGAAGAUUGGAUGCUUUUGUUUUGGCAUUUGAAUUCUACUGUUCCAGCACCUUGGCUACAUGUCCCUUUACAAGAAGUUUUGAAUCCCAGAGGUGGAAUGAUGUCUACUGCAGGAUAUCAGACCCUCAAGCUGGGGAAUGUUAGAAAAGAAUUUGGGGAGAAUGCAGCUACUUCCAUUACCACUUUUGAAAUCUCCUCAAUGAUGCCUUCAUUCAGCAGUUGAGGAAGAGUUUCACUUUGACUGAGAAGACGUUUCCAUGUUCUUAAGGCAACCUAUUUCCUGAAGAGGAAAGGUUCUAUGUUGACAGAUAGCAGACUUCUAUCAAGUGAGAGCUGUUGGCACCUGCAUCAUUUUCCUGUGUAGCUGAUGUAGCUAAUGAGUCUUAAUUUACUAUUAUGGAAUAGUAAAUCUACAGAGUAAUCCAUAUACUAUACCUAUUCUUGCAAAUGAGCUCAUAUGACAUCUAUAAAUCUCAGUAGGCAAACACUUUAAAAUAUUGUAAAGUAGGUUUUUUACAUGAAAUCUUUUUUUUCCUAUCUAAUGUUGGCUCUGUUUGGAGAUUGAGUUAUAAAUAACCUCUGAAUGCCAGCUUCAGGAGGCCUGAUAAAAGCUAUUUUUUGUUGUUUUAAUGAAUAAAAUAUUGUCUCUGAAC